RNAcentral lists this ribosomal RNA (497 nucleotides) under uncultured bacterium. RNAcentral's name for it is "partial 16S ribosomal RNA". It matches the Rfam family "Bacterial small subunit ribosomal RNA", at positions 30 to 523 of the family's 1533-position model. The record is from RNAcentral.
AUUGAACGCUGGCGGCAUGCCUAACACAUGCAAGUCGAACGCGAAAGAGGGGCAACUCUCGAGUAGAGUGGCGGACGGGUGAGUAAUACGUAGGAAUCUGCCCUAGAGUGGGGGAUAACCUGUCGAAAGACGGGCUAAUACCGCAUAUACUCUGAGGAGCAAAGGUGGCUAGCAAUAGCCUUCGCUUUAGGAUGAGCCUACGUCGGAUUAGCUAGUUGGUAGGGUAAUGGCCUACCAAGGCAACAAUCCGUAGCUGGUCUGAGAGGACGAUCAGCCACACUGGAACUGAGACACGGUCCAGACUCCUACGGGAGGCAGCAGUGGGGAAUAUUGGACAAUGGGGGAAACCCUGAUCCAGCAAUGCCGCGUGUGCGAUGAAGGCCUGCGGGUUGUAAAGCACUUUCGUUGGGGAAGAAAUGCUCAAAGAUAAUACAUUUGAGAGCUGACGUUACCCAAAGAAGAAGCACCGGCAAACUCUGUGCCAGCAGCCGCCGCCG